GGGGAAUAUUGGACAAUGGGCGCAAGCCUGAUCCAGCCAUGCCGCGUGGGUGAAGAAGGCCUUCGGGUUGUAAAGCCCUUUUGUUGGGAAAGAAAAGCAGCCGGCCAAUACCCAGUUGUUCUGACGGUACCCAAAGAAUAAGCACCGGCUAACUACGUGCCAGCAGCCGCGGUAAUACGUAGGGGGCAAGCGUUAUCCGGAAUUACUGGGCGUAAAGGGUGCGUAGGCGGUUUAUCAAGUCAGGGGUGAAAGGCUACGGCUCAACCGUAGUGACCCUCUGAAACUGGUGAACUUGAGUGUAGGAGAGGAAAGUGGAAUUCCCAGUGUAGCGGUGAAAUGCGUAGAUAUUGGGAGGAACACCAGUGGCGAAGGCGACUUUCUGGACUACAACUGACGCUGAGGCACGAAAGCGUGGGGAGCAAACA
RNAcentral lists this ribosomal RNA (425 nucleotides) under uncultured Acetoanaerobium sp. Its description in RNAcentral is "bacterial SSU rRNA". It matches the Rfam family "Bacterial small subunit ribosomal RNA", at positions 356 to 774 of the family's 1533-position model. Lineage: Bacteria; Bacillati; Bacillota; Clostridia; Peptostreptococcales; Filifactoraceae. The record is from RNAcentral.